GACGAACGCUGGCGGCGUGCUUAACACAUGCAAGUCGAACGGACAGGCCCUGCUUUUGUUGUUUUCUUGUUUGCCGAACGCGUGAGUAUCACGUGAGUAUCCUCCCCUUUUAUUUGUGAUAACUUCUCGGAACUCCGGCUCUUACCCCAUAUAAUCUUCUGCUGCAUGUUGUUGGAUGGAGAGUUUCGGCGGUUGUGGAUCUUCUCGCGGCUUAUCAGCUUGUUGGUGGGGUAGUUGCUUACCGAGGCUUUGACGGGUAGCCUGCCUGAGAGGGUUACCGGCAACAUGGGGACUGAGAUACGGACCAGAAGCCUAAGGGAGGCAGCAGUGGGGAAUAUUGCACAAUGGGCGGAAGACUGAGGCAGAAACGCCGCGUGCGGGAUGACGGCUUUCGGGUGGUAAACAGAUGUCGCCGGUGACGAAGAGUGAGUGACGGUAAUGGGUAAAGAAGCACCGGCUAACUACGUG
RNAcentral lists this ribosomal RNA (468 nucleotides) under uncultured bacterium. Its description in RNAcentral is "partial 16S ribosomal RNA". It matches the Rfam family "Bacterial small subunit ribosomal RNA", at positions 28 to 507 of the family's 1533-position model. The record is from RNAcentral.